AGGGGGUGACAGCCCCGUAAACAAAAAUGCACAUAUUGUGAGCUCGAUGAGUAGGGCGGGACACGUGGUAUCCUGUCUGAAUAUGGGGGGACCAUCCUCCAAGGCUAAAUACUCCUGACUGACCGAUAGUGAACCAGUACCGUGAGGGAAAGGCGAAAAGAACCCCGGCGAGGGGAGUGAAAAAGAACCUGAAACCGUGUACGUACAAGCAGUGGGAGCACGCUUAGGCGUGUGACUGCGUACCUUUUGUAUAAUGGGUCAGCGACUUAUAUUCUGUAGCAAGGUUAACCGAAUAGGGGAGCCGAAGGGAAACCGAGUCUUAACUGGGCGUUAAGUUGCAGGGUAUAGACCCGAAACCCGGUGAUCUAGCCAUGGGCAGGUUGAAGGUUGGGUAACACUAACUGGAGGACCGAACCGACUAAUGUUGAAAAAUUAGCGGAUGACUUGUGGCUGGGGGUGAAAGGCCAAUCAAACCGGGAGAUAGCUGGUUCUCCCCGAAAGCUAUUUAGGUAGCGCCUCGUGAAUUCAUCUCCGGGGGUAGAGCACUGUUUCGGCAAGGGGGUCAUCCCGACUUACCAACCCGAUGCAAACUGCGAAUACCGGAGAAUGUUAUCACGGGAGACACACGGCGGGUGCUAACGUCCGUCGUGAAGAGGGAAACAACCCAGACCGCCAGCUAAGGUCCCAAAGUCAUGGUUAAGUGGGAAACGAUGUGGGAAGGCCCAGACAGCCAGGAUGUUGGCUUAGAAGCAGCCAUCAUUUAAAGAAAGCGUAAUAGCUCACUGGUCGAGUCGGCCUGCGCGGAAGAUGUAACGGGGCUAAACCAUGCACCGAAGCUGCGGCAGCGACGCUUAUGCGUUGUUGGGUAGGGGAGCGUUCUGUAAGCCUGCGAAGGUGUGCUGUGAGGCAUGCUGGAGGUAUCAGAAGUGCGAAUGCUGACAUAAGUAACGAUAAAGCGGGUGAAAAGCCCGCUCGCCGGAAGACCAAGGGUUCCUGUCCAACGUUAAUCGGGGCAGGGUGAGUCGACCCCUAAGGCGAGGCCGAAAGGCGUAGUCGAUGGGAAACAGGUUAAUAUUCCUGUACUUGGUGUUACUGCGAAGGGGGGACGGAGAAGGCUAUGUUGGCCGGGCGACGGUUGUCCCGGUUUAAGCGUGUAGGCUGGUUUUCCAGGCAAAUCCGGAAAAUCAAGGCUGAGGCGUGAUGACGAGGCACUACGGUGCUGAAGCAACAAAUGCCCUGCUUCCAGGAAAAGCCUCUAAGCAUCAGGUAACAUCAAAUCGUACCCCAAACCGACACAGGUGGUCAGGUAGAGAAUACCAAGGCGCUUGAGAGAACUCGGGUGAAGGAACUAGGCAAAAUGGUGCCGUAACUUCGGGAGAAGGCACGCUGAUAUGUAGGUGAAGUCCCUUGCGGAUGGAGCUGAAAUCAGUCGAAGAUACCAGCUGGCUGCAACUGUUUAUUAAAAACACAGCACUGUGCAAACACGAAAGUGGACGUAUACGGUGUGACGCCUGCCCGGUGCCGGAAGGUUAAUUGAUGGGGUCAGCGCAAGCGAAGCUCUUGAUCGAAGCCCCGGUAAACGGCGGCCGUAACUAUAACGGUCCUAAGGUAGCGAAAUUCCUUGUCGGGUAAGUUCCGACCUGCACGAAUGGCGUAAUGAUGGCCAGGCUGUCUCCACCCGAGACUCAGUGAAAUUGAACUCGCUGUGAAGAUGCAGUGUACCCGCGGCAAGACGGAAAGACCCCGUGAACCUUUACUAUAGCUUGACACUGAACAUUGAGCCUUGAUGUGUAGGAUAGGUGGGAGGCUUUGAAGUGUGGACGCCAGUCUGCAUGGAGCCGGCCUUGAAAUACCACCCUUUAAUGUUUGAUGUUCUAACGUGGACCCGUGAUCCGGGUUGCGGACAGUGUCUGGUGGGUAGUUUGACUGGGGCGGUCUCCUCCUAAAGAGUAACGGAGGAGCACGAAGGUUGGCUAAUCCUGGUCGGACAUCAGGAGGUUAGUGCAAUGGCAUAAGCCAGCUUGACUGCGAGCGUGACGGCGCGAGCAGGUGCGAAAGCAGGUCAUAGUGAUCCGGUGGUUCUGAAUGGAAGGGCCAUCGCUCAACGGAUAAAAGGUACUCCGGGGAUAACAGGCUGAUACCGCCCAAGAGUUCAUAUCGACGGCGGUGUUUGGCACCUCGAUGUCGGCUCAUCACAUCCUGGGGCUGAAGUAGGUCCCAAGGGUAUGGCUGUUCGCCAUUUAAAGUGGUACGCGAGCUGGGUUUAGAACGUCGUGAGACAGUUCGGUCCCUAUCUGCCGUGGGCGCUGGAGAACUGAGGGGGGCUGCUCCUAGUACGAGAGGACCGGAGUGGACGCAUCACUGGUGUUCGGGUUGUCAUGCCAAUGGCACUGCCCGGUAGCUAAAUGCGGAAGAGAUAAGUGCUGAAAGCAUCUAAGCACGAAACUUGCCCCGAGAUGAGUUCU
Molecule: ribosomal RNA, 2465 nt
Filed under: Shigella sonnei
Lineage: Bacteria; Pseudomonadati; Pseudomonadota; Gammaproteobacteria; Enterobacterales; Enterobacteriaceae
Description: bacterial LSU rRNA
Rfam family: Bacterial large subunit ribosomal RNA
Source: RNAcentral